RNAcentral lists this long non-coding RNA (252 nucleotides) under Homo sapiens (human). RNAcentral's name for it is "non-protein coding lnc-LRRTM1-12:1". Lineage: Eukaryota; Metazoa; Chordata; Mammalia; Primates; Hominidae. The record is from RNAcentral.
GACCCCUCCUUUACUAUCAAAUCAAUCGGCCAUCAAUGAUAUUGAACCUGCGAAUACACCGACUACGGUGGACUAAUCUUCAACUCCUAUAUACUCCCUCCAUUAUAUCUAGAGCCAGGUGACCUAUGACUCCUUGACGUUGACAAUCGGGUGGUCCUCCCAGUUGAAGCUCCCGUUCGUAUAAUAAUUACAUCGCAAGAUGUCUUACACUCAUGAGCUGUUCCCACAUUAGGCCUAAAAACAGACACAAUU